AUUGAACGCUGGCGGCAUGCUUUACACAUGCAAGUCGAACGGCAGCACGGGCUUCGGCCUGGUGGCGAGUGGCGAACGGGUGAGUAAUAUAUCGGAACGUACCCAGAAGUGGGGGAUAACGUAGCGAAAGUUACGCUAAUACCGCAUACGAUCUAUGGAUGAAAGCAGGGGACCGCAAGGCCUUGUGCUCCUGGAGCGGCCGAUAUCUGAUUAGCUAGUUGGUGAGGUAAAGGCUCACCAAGGCGACGAUCAGUAGCUGGUCUGAGAGGACGACCAGCCACACUGGAACUGAGACACGGUCCAGACUCCUACGGGAGGCAGCAGUGGGGAAUUUUGGACAAUGGGCGCAAGCCUGAUCCAGCAAUGCCGCGUGAGUGAAGGAGGCCUUCGGGUUGUAAAGCUCUUUUGUCAGGGAAGAAACGGUAGAGGCUAAUAUCCUUUGCUAAUGACGGUACCUGAAGAAUAAGCACCGGCUAACUACGUG
Molecule: ribosomal RNA, 484 nt
Filed under: uncultured bacterium
Lineage: Bacteria
Description: partial 16S ribosomal RNA
Rfam family: Bacterial small subunit ribosomal RNA
Source: RNAcentral